UUGUCAUUUUCUCUGAUAAUUUUGUUUGAAAUUUCUCAUGGCAUGUAUAUCUGUUAUCACUUAGUCAAUGUAGUAACACAAGUCACACACAACUAGCCUUGUGUGUACAUUUGAAGAGUUAAUUUGCAAAAACAGCUCCUCUGAUUUUUUUUUUUUUUUUUUUUUUAGUUUCUACUGAGUCACAUGCACUCAAUGUCAGUUUGAUUGAUAUUAUUUCAAGUAAACAACAAAAAAACAAGUUUUCUAAAAAAAAAUGUGAACAUUGAGUUAUCGGUUUUUGCAAAUUAACUCUUAAUUUGUUUUGGAGGGAUUGGAAGAGAACCUCUACAGCCACACAGCGGUGAAAGUGUUUGUGUUCACUUUGUAGAUUCAAAGAUGGUCUUACUACCCUUCAGUUUCUUAAUGCACUACAACAACACCCUUCUUUGCUGUCCCCUGUCCUGUGCCACACUGCAAAGCCACUCACUGGCUUGGAACUUGAGAGACUCUUCAAACCUAACCUCAGCCCUUCAGGGAGUAACAGGAGACUAAAAGAAAGUCAAACUUUGGCCUACUGGGCAGACUACCUCCUUGAUUGUGAAGAAGGCAAGGCCUCUGUGUCUGUGGAGGAUGUUUUGAUGUUUGCAACUGGGCUGUCAUCACUUCCCCCUUCUGGUUUGGAACCACUGCCUCAAAUACAGUUCCUGGAUGACUCUCCAUUCCCGAUGGCAAAUACAUGUUCAAACUUGCUAAAAUUACCACUCCUUGAUUCAUACAGUAUGUUUAAGUCACAAAUGGACUUUGGAAUUGAAAAUAGUCCAGGAUUUGGCUGUUUUUAAACCACAUGACUAGAUGACCUCUGGAGCAGUGUUUCUCAAACUUCUCACAUCAAGUACCACCUCGUAACACAUUUGACAAGCAAAGUACCACCUCAUUAAAUAUGUGACCUUCCAAGUACCACCAGGACUAAAUCUGGAGAAAACCAGGUCCAAAAGGAAUCUUAAUUAAAGCUAAACUGGUCUGAAUUUUGUCUGAAGUAGGUGUAAACUAUGUCUGAACCAGAAAAGUGCCUAACUUAAACACAUUACUAAACCAAACUAAAUUAUCUCUAAUUAAAAUGAAUAAAGUAGAUGCAGAUGACCCUGAGUACCACCAGCAGCACACAUACCACCGUUUGAGAAACACUGCUCUAGAGCUCAGACUUUAGAAAUGUUUUGUUCUAAACUUGCUGUUGUUGGUGCACUUAAAGGUGCAGUUAGAUCUCAAUCGUUUUAGAUCCAUUAUUUUUAAACUGUGGUCUGUUUAUGAAUCACUGUUAUGUAUUCAGAUUAAUUUUAGAAUGAGAGGAGCAUUUCAGGAGAUUUUGUUCUCGAAAAAAAUGUUAAAAUGUAGUAACGGGGUAUUACUUUGCUUUAUUUUUUAUUCAUAUAUUUUCCGCUUUGAAUUAAUGAAGCCGUGACAAAUUCAGACACGUUUGUGUACAUGUUCUACCAUUCCAAUAAACUUGUCUUCUUUCAUA
This is a long non-coding RNA of Amphiprion ocellaris (clown anemonefish), 1498 nucleotides long. RefSeq lists it as uncharacterized. The transcript is spliced from 2 exons. The annotation marks the transcript as partial. The record is from RefSeq and is a predicted model, not a curated record. Lineage: Eukaryota; Metazoa; Chordata; Actinopteri; Pomacentridae.